GUGCUUGCAUUAGGAACACAUAUACUGAAGUCGGAACAAUACAGAGAAGAUUAGCAUGGGCCUUUGUUAAGGACGACACAAAUUCAUGGAGUGUCCCAUAUGUUU
RNAcentral lists this small nuclear RNA (105 nucleotides) under Propithecus coquereli (Coquerel's sifaka). The record is from RNAcentral. Lineage: Eukaryota; Metazoa; Chordata; Mammalia; Primates; Indriidae.